AUGAACGCUGGCGGCGUGCCUAAUACAUGCAAGUCGAGCGAACAGAUGAGGAGCUUGCUCCUCUGACGUUAGCGGCGGACGGGUGAGUAACACGUGGAUAACCUACCUAUAAGACUGGGAUAACUUCGGGAAACCGGAGCUAAUACCGGAUAAUAUAUUGAACCGCAUGGUUCAAUAGUGAAAGACGGUUUUGCUGUCACUUAUAGAUGGAUCCGCGCCGCAUUAGCUAGUUGGUAAGGUAACGGCUUACCAAGGCGACGAUGCGUAGCCGACCUGAGAGGGUGAUCGGCCACACUGGAACUGAGACACGGUCCAGACUCCUACGGGAGGCAGCAGUAGGGAAUCUUCCGCAAUGGGCGAAAGCCUGACGGAGCAACGCCGCGUGAGUGAUGAAGGUCUUCGGAUCGUAAAACCCUGUUAUUAGGGAAGAACAAAUGUGUAAGUAACUAUGCACGUCUUGACGGUACCUAAUCAGAAAGCCACGGCUAACUACGU
Molecule: ribosomal RNA, 495 nt
Filed under: uncultured bacterium
Lineage: Bacteria
Description: partial 16S ribosomal RNA
Rfam family: Bacterial small subunit ribosomal RNA
Source: RNAcentral